This 490-nucleotide ribosomal RNA is filed under the name uncultured bacterium. RNAcentral's name for it is "bacterial SSU rRNA". It matches the Rfam family "Bacterial small subunit ribosomal RNA", at positions 28 to 507 of the family's 1533-position model. The record is from RNAcentral.
GAUGAACGCUAGCGGGAGGCUUAACACAUGCAAGUCGAGGGGCAGCAUAGGGUAGCAAUACUCUGAUGGCGACCGGCAAACGGGUGAGUAACGCGUAUGACCAACCUACCCUGUACAGGGGGAUAACCCGGAGAAAUUCGGACUAAUAUCCCGUAAUAAUAUCCGGAGGCAUCUUUGGAUAUUUAAAGUUCCGACGGUACGGGAUGGGCAUGCGUAACAUUAACUGGUUGGUAAGGUAACGGCUUACCAAGGCUAUGAUGUUUAGGGGGUCCUGAGAGGGUGGUCCCCCACACUGGUACUGAGACACGGACCAGACUCCUACGGGAGGCAGCAGUGAGGAAUAUUGGUCAAUGGGCGCAAGCCUGAACCAGCCAUCCCGCGUGCAGGAAGACGGCCCUAUGGGUUGUAAACUGCUUUUCCAGGGAGAGAAACUUACGCACGUGUUGCGUGACUGACGGUACCCUGGGAAUAAGCAUCGGCUAACUCCGUG